UACAGAGGGGGCAAGCGUUGUUCGGAAUUACUGGGCGUAAAGGGCGCGUAGGCGGCCUGUUAAGUCGAACGUGAAAUCCCCGGGCUCAACCCGGGAACUGCGUCCGAAACUGGCAGGCUCGAAUCCGGGAGAGGGAUGCGGAAUUCCAGGUGUAGCGGUGAAAUGCGUAGAUACCUGGAGGAACACCGGUGGCGAAGGCGGCAUCCUGGACCGGCAUUGACGCUGAGGCGCGAAAGCUAGGGGAGCAAACAGG
Molecule: ribosomal RNA, 253 nt
Filed under: uncultured bacterium
Lineage: Bacteria
Description: partial 16S ribosomal RNA
Rfam family: Bacterial small subunit ribosomal RNA
Source: RNAcentral